GACAGAGGGUGCAAACGUUGUUCGGAUUUACUGGGCGUAAAGGGCGCGUAGGCGGACAGUUUAGUCAGAGGUGAAAGCCCAGGGCUCAACCUUGGAAUUGCCUUUGAUACUGGCUGUCUUGAGUUCGGGAGAGGUGAGUGGAAUGCCGAGUGUAGAGGUGAAAUUCGUAGAUAUUCGGCGGAACACCAGUGGCGAAGGCGACUCACUGGCCCGAUACUGACGCUGAGGCGCGAAAGCGUGGGGAGCAAACAGG
Molecule: ribosomal RNA, 253 nt
Filed under: uncultured bacterium
Lineage: Bacteria
Description: partial 16S ribosomal RNA
Rfam family: Bacterial small subunit ribosomal RNA
Source: RNAcentral